GACGAACGCUGGCGGCGUGCUUAACACAUGCAAGUCGAACGGUAAGGCCCUUCGGGGUACACGAGUGGCGAACGGGGGAGUAACACGUGGGUGAUCUGCCCUGCACUUCGGGAUAAGCCGGGGAAACUGGGUCUAAUACCGGAUAGGACCACUGCCUGCAUGGGUGGUGGUGGAAAGCCUUUGCGGUGUGGGAUGGGCCCGCGGCCUAUCAGCUUGUUGGUGGGGUGAUGGCCUACCAAGGCGACGACGGGUAGCCGGCCUGAGAGGGUGACCGGCCACACUGGGACUGAGAUACGGCCCAGACUCCUACGGGAGGCAGCAGUGGGGAAUAUUGCACAAUGGGCGCAAGCCUGAUGCAGCGACGCCGCGUGAGGGAUGACGGCCUUCGGGUUGUAAACCUCUUUCAGCACCGACGAAGCGCAAGUGACGGUAGGUGCAGAAGAAGGACCGGCCAACUACGUGCCAGCAGCCGCCGUAA
RNAcentral lists this ribosomal RNA (478 nucleotides) under uncultured bacterium. RNAcentral's name for it is "partial 16S ribosomal RNA". It matches the Rfam family "Bacterial small subunit ribosomal RNA", at positions 28 to 523 of the family's 1533-position model. The record is from RNAcentral.